UUUUAGCUAAAAAUCAAAACUUCCAGUGGUUUCAUGUGCAGAUGAAUGCGUCUAGUUCUCUAAAAGCAGCUGGAGCUUCACCUCUUCUCUAACCCACAGUAUUUACAGGGUGUGACAGAUGGAUUUUUCCAGCCGUCACAUGACUGAUUCCUUCAGGGUGGGGGGGUCGUUGUGUCUGUGGCGUCCCAGACUUGCUUUAGCUGCCUGUGUCCAAGUAAGAGUCGCAGGCAACUUAAAACAAGCCUCGAAAGCAAGACUGUGUCCGCUGAUGGAGCAGUCGGCGACGAUGGGGGUGGAGUUCAUGAUCAUAACACAAGGAAUCCACUGGGAGAAGACAAAGAAAACACAAGUACU
Sphaeramia orbicularis (orbiculate cardinalfish) is the source of this 354-nucleotide long non-coding RNA. RefSeq lists it as uncharacterized. The transcript is spliced from 3 exons. NCBI's taxonomy places the organism in Eukaryota, Metazoa, Chordata, Actinopteri, Kurtiformes, Apogonidae. The record is from RefSeq and is a predicted model, not a curated record.